GAGUUUGAUCAUGGCUCAGAUUGAACGCUGGCGGCAGGCCUAACACAUGCAAGUCGAGCGGAUGACGGGAGCUUGCUCCUUGAUUCAGCGGCGGACGGGUGAGUAAUGCCUGGGAAUCUGCCUGGUAGUGGGGGACAACGUUUCGAAAGGAACGCUAAUACCGCAUACGUCCUACGGGAGAAAGCAGGGGACCUUCGGGCCUUGCGCUAUCAGAUGAGCCUAGGUCGGAUUAGCUAGUUGGUGGGGUAAUGGCUCACCAAGGCGACGAUCCGUAACUGGUCUGAGAGGAUGAUCAGUCACACUGGGACUGAGACACGGUCCAGACUCCUACGGAGGCAGCAGUGGGGAAUAUUGGACAAUGGGCGAAAGCCUGAUCCAGCCAUGCCGCGUGUGU
This 394-nucleotide ribosomal RNA is filed under the name bacterium enrichment culture clone ALO1_GLFRUDD03G9Y5C. RNAcentral's name for it is "bacterial SSU rRNA". It matches the Rfam family "Bacterial small subunit ribosomal RNA", at positions 9 to 406 of the family's 1533-position model. The record is from RNAcentral.